GAAAGAAGAAAGAAUCACAAAGUUGUUGAGGUUAAUUCACUUAGAUGUUAGUGGCACUUGUCCACAAACAUAAAUACUACUCAUGUUGAUUGACAUUCACCGAAGAUCACUCUCGGUUGGACUAUAGUUUAUUUUGAAUAAACACAAGUCCGAAUACUUUGCAAAAUGUUUCAAAGAAUUCAAGUAAUGUAAGUUGAUGAGUAAGACAUCUAAAGUAUUUACCUCCUUAGAUUUGAUCCAAGAAAGGUAACACUUUAGAUAAGUUUCCUUGAAAGAUAUCAAGGAAAAUAGCAUCAUAAGAUAAUGUAUUUCUCCAUUAGGAGAAGAACGAACUCGAAUAAGUUUUAGUUCGUUAGAUGUUAUCUAUUACCCAUAUAUAGGAUAUAUACUUCUAAAAACAAUAUGAUUGUCAAUGAGAAGAUCUUCCAAUAUUUUCAUGACUCCAUAAGAUGUAGUUGGAAAGAAAGACAAAUCUUAAGCAUGUUAAGAUUUGGGGUUGUGUGCUAACAAGCAAUAUUUGUUUGAUAAUAAUCUUGUAGGAUAUCCUUAAAAUAACUUUUGGAUAUCGCUUCUAUAAACCAACUAACAAAUGUUGUUUUGUUGGGUAGUUCAUUGUAAUUCUACAAUGUGAUUUGCCUAAAAGCAAAUGAACGAGAGAUAGAACUCGAAGAAUGGGUUCUUUGAGAGACAAGAUAGUAAUCAACAAAUAUA
RNAcentral lists this long non-coding RNA (711 nucleotides) under Malus domestica (apple). Its description in RNAcentral is "long non-coding RNA (MDOM_LNC010429)". Lineage: Eukaryota; Viridiplantae; Streptophyta; Magnoliopsida; Rosales; Rosaceae. The record is from RNAcentral.